GGGAAUGUGGCUUAGUGGUAGAGUGCUUGCCUAGUGUGCAUGAAGUCCUGAGUUCAAUUCCUCAGUACCA
RNAcentral lists this transfer RNA (70 nucleotides) under Dipodomys ordii (Ord's kangaroo rat). It matches the Rfam family "tRNA". Rfam says of the family: Transfer RNA (tRNA) molecules are approximately 80 nucleotides in length. Lineage: Eukaryota; Metazoa; Chordata; Mammalia; Rodentia; Heteromyidae. The record is from Rfam by way of RNAcentral.